RNAcentral lists this transfer RNA (69 nucleotides) under Tylodelphys immer. Its description in RNAcentral is "tRNA-Thr". Lineage: Eukaryota; Metazoa; Platyhelminthes; Trematoda; Diplostomida; Diplostomidae. The record is from RNAcentral.
GGAAGUGUAGUUUAUAUUUAAGAGAAUGGUACUUUUGUAAAGUAUUGGUGUUGUAUGUGGCGGCUUCUU